RNAcentral lists this ribosomal RNA (465 nucleotides) under uncultured bacterium. RNAcentral describes it as "partial 16S ribosomal RNA". It matches the Rfam family "Bacterial small subunit ribosomal RNA", at positions 28 to 507 of the family's 1533-position model. The record is from RNAcentral.
GACGAACGCUGGCGGCGUGCUUAACACAUGCAAGUCGAACGGUAAGGCUCCAGCUUGCUGGGGUACACGAGUGGCGAACGGGUGAGUAACACGUGGGUGACCUGCCCUGCACUUCGGGAUAAGCCUGGGAAACUGGGUCUAAUACCGGAUAGGACCGCACCGUGAGGGUGUGGUGGAAAGUUUUUUCGGUGUGGGAUGGGCCCGCGGCCUAUCAGCUUGUUGGUGGGGUAAUGGCCUACCAAGGCGGCGACGGGUAGCCGGCCUGAGAGGGUGGACGGCCAGAUUGGGGCUGGGACGCGGCCCGGCCCCCUACGGGGGGCGGCGGGGGGGAAUGUGGCACAAGGGGCGGAGGCUUGAUGCCGCGCCGCCGCGGGGGGGAUGAGGGCCUUCGGGUUGUAAACUCCUUCCCCCAUCGACGAGGGGUUCCUGCCGGUGGGUGGAGAAGAGGCCCCGCCUAACUCCGUG